Long non-coding RNA from Acanthaster planci (crown-of-thorns starfish), 251 nucleotides. Lineage: Eukaryota; Metazoa; Echinodermata; Asteroidea; Valvatida; Acanthasteridae. The record is from RefSeq and is a predicted model, not a curated record.
AGCAGUUUUGUGUAUGUUGCUAGCUGAAUGACAGGGCAAUUGCCGAAUUACCUGACGGAGUGGAUGCAAAUAAUACGCAGAAGCAAAUUCAGUAUGUCGGAUAUGGAUAUAACCAACCGUGGUACCUUCAAGGAGAGCAACAAGAUCUACAAGGACACCAAGUUUGGAGAAGUCUAUGUAAUGGACCAAGAAGAAGCAGAUGACAGAAUGUAUAACUGGCUCCUGGUGGGCGACCCACCGCUGACAUUACC